RNAcentral lists this long non-coding RNA (796 nucleotides) under Helianthus annuus (common sunflower). Its description in RNAcentral is "sRNA HanXRQr2_Chr02g0047031". The record is from RNAcentral. Lineage: Eukaryota; Viridiplantae; Streptophyta; Magnoliopsida; Asterales; Asteraceae.
UCUCACCCCCAAUUUCAUAUCUUCCCUUUAAUCCACCAAAAUCACAUGUUACUAAUUUUCUUAAAGAAAUUCAAUUUGAGCUUUCAUCGGAGUGAAUUCAAUUUCCAAACAUUUUCACAAUUGUUAAAAACAGUCGUUUCAAUUGUUUAAUUGUAGGUUCCUGAAGGUCUAAGUAAUCAUGUGAGUUAAUUCAAGAAAGCUCAAUCAAACUGGUAUAACCAAGUAUCAAACGCAUGGAGGAAAUCUAAACCUCCACCAAACACACCUGAAGAAGCUUCGAGGCUUGUAAGUCACACCCUACAGCGACACCCAACACCCGAUAUGGAGGGCUUAUGACCGUUCUACGUUCUCCGUCUUCCACAUCUUCUGGUUGAUGCGCCUUCACUCGUUGACGGGAUCAAGUUUGAGUUGCACACGCUUCCGGUGGAUGCAAAGGCAGUAGCAGAUGGGGAUACUGUAACAGUCUAUGUUAGUACCUCGGAUGCCCGGGAGUCAUCGCGUGUUCCCCAAGAGGUACAAAUGGCUGCGGUUGAACGUAUUGAAGCACUGACUGAAAGGAACUACACCAAAGCAGAUUCAUUGCAAAAACGAAUCACAGAUGUAGAACUUUUAGGUUUUUUACAAGGGUAAAGAAGAUACAGGGGCAUUUUAGUCUUUUAACAGAAAACUAACAGAAAAUAUGGAUGGUGUUAGAAAUUUGGACUCAAAUGGUUAAGGAAAAUGCUUAUAGGGACUCAGGUCGUUAAACUUUUUGCUUUUGUACUCAACUAGUUAAAAUCCAUAAAACACAGGGACU